RNAcentral lists this long non-coding RNA (1718 nucleotides) under Sus scrofa (pig). RNAcentral describes it as "lncRNA (ENSSSCG00065070788.1)". Lineage: Eukaryota; Metazoa; Chordata; Mammalia; Artiodactyla; Suidae. The record is from RNAcentral.
GUGCACAUGCAUGGAAUGAAUGCCCUGCCUAGAGUGUGGCCUUUUCAAGAGAAAAGGCAGGUGAUGGUAUAAAAAAUACGAGAGGUUUUUUUUUGUUGUUGUUUUGUUUUGUUUUUAAAAAGGGGGUCUCUGCCUUGCCCGCCCCUGUCUCUCUGUCUCUCCGCCUUCCCUCCUCCCCAUGCCCUAUGUUCAAAUUUUUCUCAGUUGUUACAUGUGUGUGGUUUUGAAGGUGGAUCUUUGGAGAGGGAGAGGGUCCUUCGGAGAACAGAGCAUGGAAGAUACAUCCGCAUUGCUGGGGGCCAACAGGGCUUUGCUCCACCGUCGGGGCUAAAGCCCACGGUACCUGUUGGGAGGAUGCAGGGCUGUAGCCUCUCAGGGCAGACAUAGGACGUAUGCAUUGCUAAACAUGAGUACUUGUCCAAAUCUGUCGGAAGGCAGAGGCAGUCUAGGAUUUGGGGCGCGAAGUGCCACCUGACAGAAUGGGGAUGAGCGGUGGCCCGCAGUGGUUUAGUCAGGAUGCGAAUGUUUCGCCUCCUUCUCUUCUUGAGUGUACCUCCAGAUACAUGCACCUGCAAGAGUGCGCCUUUCCCCCCGCCCCCCUGUCGCCUCUGUUUCACUGUAUCCCUUCUUCUCUUUCCCAUUGUCCUGCCUUUUUAGUACUCAGAUUUUUUUAAAAAUAAAUAUUUACUUUUUUAUGAUAUAUUUGGUCCCUUGGGACUAUGUUAUGAUUCAGAAUUAAUUUCCUUCUAGGUAAAAACAAACAAAAAAACAAAAAAACAAACAAAAAAAAAACCAGAUGUGUUUAAUAUGUUUGUUCUUUUAAACUGUCUUUCGAAGCUAUGCUGCUAACCAGCUACAGGCCAGAAGGGAGUUGGGCCAGAUAGACCGCACCCUGGUCAUGUCACUUGAGGAUGACAUGGAUGUUUUGAUGGUAACUCUUCUUCAUUUGACCAAGGCCAGUCUCCUGCUCUGACCUCUGUCCAUUCAUUUCUGGCUGUGGGGAGACUCCUACCUGUGGGUGAGCCAGUGAGGCCAAGAGGAUCAGAGCGGCCGGGUUCCAGCCCGUGGGCCACUCUAUUCAUCUCUCUGUAAUAAGCUCAUGUGUAGCCAAAGAAAACCUGUCUGACUCGAUAUCUUCCUUGGUGCUGAGCUGUUCAGAGCAAUUAUUUCUCUGAGUGUUGCCAACCCGUUAGUCAUGCUUUCUUAGCUUUAUUCUAACUUUUGGAGAUGUCGGUCCCUGUUCAUAGGCACAGCCUGUACCAAAGCUGUACCAGCCUGUACCACUGCAUACUUCAUUCUGCUCCCUGGUCAAGCAUAGCAGCGUAGUCUCAAAAGGAAGAUGUGGGCUGGGGAGUUAGGAGACCUGGUUCCUAUUCCCUAUGCUUCUACUAUACUAGCCUCGAGAUCUUUAACCGCUCUGUGCCUCAGUGUUCCCAUCUGCAAAAUGGGGAUAGUGUUAAUUGCCCUACCUACCUCACAGGGUUGUUGUGAGGAUAAACUGAGACCACGAAAGGAAAGUACUUUGACAAGUGCUAUGCAACUUACAAGAAAGGGAAACAAUCACGUUCAAGGCAAUGGGAUGGACAUUGGCAGAAGGGUUAAUGGGACUGUCCAGCCCUUUCUCUGUGUGGCUUAAACCCAGGUUGCCAUUGCUUUAUACAUUUUUUCACUUAGCACAGAUUUGUAAUUAUGCAUGUAAUAAAGCACAGCCUUAUCCG